UACGUAGGGGGCAAGCGUUGUCCGGAAUCAUUGGGCGUAAAGCGCGUGUAGGCGGCUCGGUAAGUCCGCUCUGAAAGUCCAGGGCUCAACCCUGGGAUGCGGGUGGAUACUGCCGAGCUCGAGUCCGGAAGAGGCGAGUGGAAUUCCUGGUGUAGCGGUGAAAUGCGCAGAUAUCAGGAGGAACACCAAUGGCGAAGGCAGCUCGCUGGGACGUGACUGACGCUGAGACGCGAAAGCGUGGGGAGCAAACAGG
Molecule: ribosomal RNA, 253 nt
Filed under: uncultured bacterium
Lineage: Bacteria
Description: partial 16S ribosomal RNA
Rfam family: Bacterial small subunit ribosomal RNA
Source: RNAcentral